This 67-nucleotide transfer RNA is filed under the name Sinelater perroti. RNAcentral describes it as "tRNA-Ser". Lineage: Eukaryota; Metazoa; Arthropoda; Insecta; Coleoptera; Elateridae. The record is from RNAcentral.
AGAUAAUGAACUUGUUAAAGUGUAUAUUUUGAAAAUAUAAGAAAGGAAAUAGCCUUCCUAUUAUCUG